Molecule: ribosomal RNA, 863 nt
Filed under: Corynebacterium sp. YM204B
Lineage: Bacteria; Bacillati; Actinomycetota; Actinomycetes; Mycobacteriales; Corynebacteriaceae
Description: bacterial SSU rRNA
Rfam family: Bacterial small subunit ribosomal RNA
Source: RNAcentral
UAAUACGUAGGGUGCGAGCGUUGUCCGGAAUUACUGGGCGUAAAGAGCUCGUAGGUGGUUUGUCGCGUCGUCUGUGAAAUUCCGGGGCUCAACUCCGGGCGUGCAGGCGAUACGGGCAUAACUUGAGUGCUGUAGGGGAGACUGGAAUUCCUGGUGUAGCGGUGAAAUGCGCAGAUAUCAGGAGGAACACCGAUGGCGAAGGCAGGUCUCUGGGCAGUAACUGACGCUGAGGAGCGAAAGCAUGGGUAGCGAACAGGAUUAGAUACCCUGGUAGUCCAUGCCGUAAACGGUGGGCGCUAGGUGUGGGGGUCUUCCACGACUUCUGUGCCGUAGCUAACGCAUUAAGCGCCCCGCCUGGGGAGUACGGCCGCAAGGCUAAAACUCAAAGGAAUUGACGGGGGCCCGCACAAGCGGCGGAGCAUGUGGAUUAAUUCGAUGCAACGCGAAGAACCUUACCUGGGCUUGACAUGUACCGGAUCGGCGCAGAGAUGUGUCUUCCCUUGUGGUCGGUAUACAGGUGGUGCAUGGUUGUCGUCAGCUCGUGUCGUGAGAUGUUGGGUUAAGUCCCGCAACGAGCGCAACCCUUGUCCUGUGUUGCCAGCACGUUGUGGUGGGGACUCACGGGAGACUGCCGGGGUUAACUCGGAGGAAGGUGGGGAUGACGUCAAAUCAUCAUGCCCCUUAUGUCCAGGGCUUCACACAUGCUACAAUGGUCGGUACAGUGGGUUGCUACACCGUGAGGUGGUGCUAAUCUCUUAAAGCCGGUCUCAGUUCGGAUUGGAGUCUGCAACUCGACUCCAUGAAGUCGGAGUCGCUAGUAAUCGCAGAUCAGCAAUGCUGCGGUGAAUACGUUCCCGGGCCUU